This 883-nucleotide long non-coding RNA is filed under the name Gossypium raimondii (Peruvian cotton). RNAcentral describes it as "long non-coding RNA (GRAI_LNC004814)". The record is from RNAcentral. Lineage: Eukaryota; Viridiplantae; Streptophyta; Magnoliopsida; Malvales; Malvaceae.
UUCCCUAGGGUUUCGUCGCCCCUGAGCGCCGCCGCUCAGUCUUGUGCCGAGGCUCCGGCGGUGACGAAGAUGGCACCGGUCCCACUGUUUUGGCGACAAAGGUAAAUCCCCCUCUUUCUUUUAUGUUUUUUUAAGCAAAAACUAAAAAAAAUAAAAUGAAAAUAAAAAAACAAGGAACGAAACUAAGAAACAGAACCCCGAAUGAAAAAAAAUCACCUUUUUUGUAUUCACAAUCAAUUUUUGUCCCCCAUUUUUACAGAUUUGAUAACGACCCUUUUUAUAGCCGAAAAUGGAAAAGAAAAAUAAAUAAAAUCGAAUAAAAUCCAAACAAAAUCUAUACUAUUGCUCGUUUUUUGCUAUUCUGUUUUGUUUCUGUUCAUUAUUGCAGGUGUGGCGUGGAGCGAACGGCGCGGGGAAGGCGCGCAAGAGGCGGCGACGAACGUGGCUGCUGUUGAGGGCGGCGGCUGGUGAUUUUUCUGCUUAGGGUUUCUAAUUUUUUGUUUGUUUUGGGCUAGGUUUGGUUUGGGCUUAGGUUUAGUUUAUUGGGUUUGUUUAUUUGCUUGGGCCCGGGCAUUAUUGGGCUUGUACACCGAUGAUGGAGCUCUACCCUUAAAGCAUCCAAUCUUCGCAUUGGGCUUGGUUUUUGGUAGCAGUUUUGCUUGGCCUUGAUUUCUUGAUAUCCAAAUAUUUUCGUGUAGGCUUCUCUGUUUUUGUUUUACUAUCUUCAUUAGAUAAGAUUUUAGCGAAGUCUUCAAUCUUUUAUGUACACUGCAAUUUGGAAAUAUUGGACUCGGGCUUAAAUAAUUGUUCUUUGUAAUUUGGUUACUACAUGAAUUGAUUAUCCGAGUAAAGUUUCAUAGGCGUAAGUUAAGUCCGAAUUACG